UACGUAGGGAGCAAGCGUUGUCCGGAAUCAUUGGGCGUAAAGCGCGCGUAGGUGGCCUCAUAAGUCCGCUGUGAAAGUCAAAGGCUCAACCUUUGAAAGCCGGUGGAUACUGUGAGGCUAGAGUACGGAAGAGGCGAGUGGAAUUCCUGGUGUAGCGGUGGAAUGCGCAGAUAUCGGGAGGAACACCGGUGGCGAAGGCGGUUCUCUGGGCCUUACCUGACGCUGAGGAGCGAAAGCCAGGGGAGCGAACGGG
This 253-nucleotide ribosomal RNA is filed under the name uncultured bacterium. Its description in RNAcentral is "partial 16S ribosomal RNA". It matches the Rfam family "Bacterial small subunit ribosomal RNA", at positions 524 to 776 of the family's 1533-position model. The record is from RNAcentral.